GACGAACGCUGGCGGCGUGCUUAACACAUGCAAGUCGAACGGAAAGGCCCUGCUUUUGUGGGGUGCUCGAGUGGCGAACGGGUGAGUAACACGUGAGUAACCUGCCCUUGACUUUGGGAUAACUUCAGGAAACUGGGGCUAAUACCGGAUAGGAUCUCCUGCUGCAUGGUGGGGGUUGGAAAGUUUCGGCGGUUGGGGAUGGACUCGCGGCUUAUCAGCUUGUUGGUGGGGUAGUGGCUUACCAAGGCUUUGACGGGUAGCCGGCCUGAGAGGGUGACCGGCCACAUUGGGACUGAGAUACGGCCCAGACUCCUACGGGAGGCAGCAGUGGGGAAUAUUGCACAAUGGGCGGAAGCCUGAUGCAGCGACGCCGCGUGCGGGAUGACGGCCUUCGGGUUGUAAACCGCUUUCGCCUGUGACGAAGCGUGAGUGACGGUAAUGGGUAAAGAAGCACCGGCUAACUACGUG
Molecule: ribosomal RNA, 468 nt
Filed under: uncultured bacterium
Lineage: Bacteria
Description: partial 16S ribosomal RNA
Rfam family: Bacterial small subunit ribosomal RNA
Source: RNAcentral